AUACGGAGGAUGCAAGCGUUAUCCGGAUUUAUUGGGUUUAAAGGGUGCGUAGGCGGAUGAUUAAGCGUGAGGUGAAAUGCCACUGCUCAACAGUGGAACUGCCUCGCGAACUGGUUGUCUUGAAUGCUCCUGCCGUGGGAGGAAUGUGUGGUGUAGCGGUGAAAUGCAUAGAGAUCACACAGAACACCGAUUGCGAAGGCAUCUCACGAAGGGGUGAUUGACGCUGAGGCACGAAAGCGUGGGGAUAAAACAGGAUUAGAUACCCUGGUAGUCCACGCCGUAAACGAUGAUGGCUAACCGCUGGGCUUAUCAGUUCAGUGGCCAAGCGAAAGCGAUAAGCCAUCCACCUGGGGAGUACGACCGCAAGGUUGAAACUCAAAUGAAUUGACGGGG
This 393-nucleotide ribosomal RNA is filed under the name uncultured bacterium. RNAcentral's name for it is "partial 16S ribosomal RNA". It matches the Rfam family "Bacterial small subunit ribosomal RNA", at positions 523 to 918 of the family's 1533-position model. The record is from RNAcentral.